CCGCGGUAAUAUUGGUCAAUGGGCGCGAGCCUGAACCAGCCAAGUCGCGUGAGGGAAGACGGUCCUAUGGAUUGUAAACCUCUUUUGUCGGGGAGCAAAAGACGCCACGCGUAGCGUUCCGAGAGUACCCGAAGAAAAAGCAUCGGCUAACUACGUGCCAGCAGCCGCGGUAAUCAGCAG
Molecule: ribosomal RNA, 180 nt
Filed under: uncultured bacterium
Lineage: Bacteria
Description: partial 16S ribosomal RNA
Rfam family: Bacterial small subunit ribosomal RNA
Source: RNAcentral